This 429-nucleotide ribosomal RNA is filed under the name Bacteroidota bacterium. RNAcentral describes it as "Bacteroidetes bacterium partial 16S ribosomal RNA". It matches the Rfam family "Bacterial small subunit ribosomal RNA", at positions 355 to 776 of the family's 1533-position model. The record is from RNAcentral. Lineage: Bacteria; Pseudomonadati; Bacteroidota.
UAGGGAAUCUUCCGCAAUGGACGCAAGUCUGACGGAGCAACGCCGCGUGAGUGAAGAAGGAUUUCGGUUCGUAAAACUCUGUUGUUAGAGAAGAACAGCGCAUAGAGUAACUGUUAUGCGUGUGACGGUAUCUAACCAGAAAGCCACGGCUAACUACGUGCCAGCAGCCGCGGUAAUACGUAGGUGGCAAGCGUUGUCCGGAUUUAUUGGGCGUAAAGCGAGCGCAGGCGGUCAAUUAAGUCUGAUGUGAAAGCCCCCGGCUCAACCGGGGAGGGUCAUUGGAAACUGGUUGACUUGAGUGCAGAAGAGGAGAGUGGAAUUCCAUGUGUAGAGGUGAAAUGCGUAGAUAUAUGGAGGAACACCAGUGGCGAAGGCGACUCUCUGGUCUGUAACUGACGCUGAGGCUCGAAAGCGUGGGUAGCAAACAGG